UAGCCGGCCUGAGAGGGCGACCGGCCACACUGGGACUGAGACACGGCCCAGACUCCUACGGGAGGCAGCAGUGGGGAAUAUUGGGCAAUGGAGGAAACUCUGACCCAGCGACGCCGCGUGCGGGAUGAAGGCCUUCGGGUUGUAAACCGCUUUCAGCAGGGAAGAAGCGAAAGUGACGGUACCUGCAGAAGAAGCACCGGCUAACUAUGUGCCAGCAGCCGCGGUAAUACAUAGGGUGCAAGCGUUGUCCGGAAUUAUUGGGCGUAAAGAGCUCGUAGGUGGUUCGUCACGUCGGAUGUGAAAAUCUGGGGCUCAACCCCAGACCUGCAUUCGAUACGGGCGAGCUAGAGUUUGGUAGGGGAGACUGGAAUUCCU
RNAcentral lists this ribosomal RNA (375 nucleotides) under uncultured bacterium. Its description in RNAcentral is "bacterial SSU rRNA". It matches the Rfam family "Bacterial small subunit ribosomal RNA", at positions 284 to 671 of the family's 1533-position model. The record is from RNAcentral.